UCGAGGAUCAUUCGCAAUGCGCGAAAGCGUGACGAUGCGACGCCGCGUGGGUGAUGAAGGUCUUCGGACUGUAAAACCCUGUCGUCAGGGACGAAGGUGUGCAUGUUAAUAGCGUGUGCACUUGACGGUACCUGGAGAGGAAGCCCCGGCUAACUCUGUGCCAGCAGCCGCGGUAAUACAGAGGGGGCAAGCGUUAUUCGGAAUUAUUGGGCGUAAAGGGCGCGUAGGCGGUUUUUUAAGUCAGAUGUGCAAUCCCCGAGCUCAACUUGGGAACUGCAUCUGAGACUGGAAGGCUAGAGUACUGGAGAGGGUGGUGGAAUUCCUCGUGUAGCGGUGAAAUGCGUAGAGAUGAGGAGGAACACCAGUGGCGAAGGCGGCCACCUGGACAGUAACUGACGCUGAGGCGCGAAAGUGUGGGUAGCAAACAGG
Molecule: ribosomal RNA, 429 nt
Filed under: uncultured bacterium
Lineage: Bacteria
Description: bacterial SSU rRNA
Rfam family: Bacterial small subunit ribosomal RNA
Source: RNAcentral